GUGCCAGCAGCCGCGGUAAUACGGAGGGGGCUAGCGUUGUUCGGAAUCACUGGGCGUAAAGCGCGCGUAGGCGGCUUGAAAAGUUGGAUGUGAAAUCCCGGGGCUCAACCCCGGAACUGCAUUCAAAACUUUCUGGCUAGAGACUUAGAGAGGUGGGCGGAAUUCCGAGUGUAGAGGUGAAAUUCGUAGAUAUUCGGAAGAACACCGGUUGCGAAGGCGGCUCACUGGCUAAGUUCUGACGCUGAGGUGCGAAAGCGUGGGGAGCAAACAGGAUUAGAAACCCCUGUAGUCC
RNAcentral lists this ribosomal RNA (292 nucleotides) under uncultured bacterium. Its description in RNAcentral is "partial 16S ribosomal RNA". It matches the Rfam family "Bacterial small subunit ribosomal RNA", at positions 505 to 796 of the family's 1533-position model. The record is from RNAcentral.